This 493-nucleotide ribosomal RNA is filed under the name uncultured bacterium. RNAcentral describes it as "SSU rRNA". It matches the Rfam family "Bacterial small subunit ribosomal RNA", at positions 26 to 529 of the family's 1533-position model. The record is from RNAcentral.
AGGACGAACGCUGGCGGCGUGCCUAACACAUGCAAGUCGAACGCGCUCCAUUCGGUAGCAAUACUGAUGAAGAGCGAGUGGCGAACGGGUGAGUAGCACGUGAGCAACCUGCCCCGAAGACCGGGACAACACCGGGAAACCGGUGCUAAUACCGGAUAUCCCUAUCGGACCGCAUGAUCUGAUAAGGAAAUGGAUUCCGCUUCGGGAGGGGCUCGCGGCCUAUCAGCUAGUUGGUGAGGUAACGGCCCACCAAGGCAUCGACGGGUAGCUGGUCUGAGAGGACGAUCAGCCACACUGGGACUGAGACACGGCCCAGACUCCUACGGGAGGCAGCAGUGGGGAAUCUUGCGCAACGGGCGAAAGCCUGACGCAGCAACGCCGCGUGGAGGACGAAGGCUUUCUGAGUUGUAAACUCCUUUCAGCAGGGACGAUAGUGACGGUACCCGCAGAAGAAGCACCGGCCAACUACGUGCCAGCAGCCGCGGUAAUCGUA